This 3612-nucleotide long non-coding RNA is filed under the name Sus scrofa (pig). Its description in RNAcentral is "lncRNA (ENSSSCG00035034376.1)". Lineage: Eukaryota; Metazoa; Chordata; Mammalia; Artiodactyla; Suidae. The record is from RNAcentral.
AUGGAUUGGCUGGGAGGUGGAUGUUUACUUCAGCUGACUUGGAAUAUCAACCGUUAUCAUUGAUACAGGAUUUGGCAAAAACUGUAUACAGAGACUUGAGGGUUUUUUUUUUAAUUUAAUUACUAUAAAUUUAACUUGCUCUCGUAUCUUUUCAGUUGUGUUAUACAUUUCUCACAUGGCAUAAGACCGAUGCAGAAGAAUGUCCUUACGUGGUUGGUGGCUCUCGCAAUGAGCUUGGAUAAGCAAGGGCUCUGAUGUCAGACGAGUAGCCACCUGGGCCUCACCGGUCAGUUUACUCUGAUGUGGAGGAGGGAAAGGCACUGUUUCACACUAGGUGCUUUUCUCACCUGCAAAGUAGGUGUGGUGUCCACUUCACGGGGUGGGGGGAGGAAGGGUCGUGGUAGGGAUUGGCCUAGGCGAUGGAUGCGAAGUGGGCCAUUAGCCAGGGCCGCACAUUAAGUGCUGAGGAAUGCCAGCACACUAGCUGCUGCUAAUGCUGGCUGUAGUGCCUAAUAAUAGCACAUAGCAUGUUCUGGGUGGUCAGUAAAUCAUUGCCGUUAUAUUGAAAGUAGAUAUAACUCAUUGUUAUUCUAACAAGUAAAGGUGAUACCAACCUUCUGGUUUAAUGGAAAUAGUUUGAAUCUUCAAAAGCACUGUACUUCAGUGGCAGCGUUUAGAGGCCCAGCUUCUUGAACUCGUAUGCUGGUCCUGCCCCCAGAGCUCUUACUUUGGGGGAGUUACUGGUCUCUCUCAAUUUCUUCAGCCUGCCAAAUUGAGAUUGUAACAGUACCUGCUUAGUAGGAUUGUUAUGAGAUUCAGUGAGUUAAUAAUAUUAUGAAUGAGUUAAUACCAGUAAAGUGUUAGAAUGGUAACAUAACUAAGCUCCUGGUAAAUGGUGGCUGCUAUUACUACUACUACCACUACUGUUUUAAAAACACGCUUGUCGGGAGUUACUCUUGUGGCUCAGCAAUCCUUAACCCACUGAGCAAGGCCAGGGAUCAAACCUUCAUCUUCAUUGAAUGCUCAUCAGAUUCAUUAACUGCUGAGCCACUACAGGAACUCCCUGAGUUAUUUUCAAGUAAGGUGUGGGUAUGAAUGAGAAACAAAGUUUGGGAACUCGGUACUGGCAAAUCCUUCAUUUUCGGGUAACUUUCUAAAUGUGCAGUCAUUCCUUCUGUGAUGUUUAGAGUAAAUGUGAACAAUAUGUAAAAACAUUCUCUUCGCAGUCACAUACCACAGCCUUCCUUUUUAUAGUCGGAAUCAUUAACGCAGUGGUGAUCCUUCCAAGCUCUUAUUUAUUUUUUGUUUUGUUUUGUUUCAUUUUGUUUUGUUGGCCAUGCCUGUAGCACAUAGAAGUUCCCGGGCCAGGGAUCAAACCUGCUCCAUAGCAGUGACCCCAGCCACUGCAGUGGUAAAGCUGGAUCCUUAACCCGCUGCACCACAGGGGAACUCCUUAAAACUAUGUGCCAUCAAAGCUAAGAAAUGCAAUUGAUUAUAUGACACCAGUAGUUUAUGUACUGAGAAAGAAGAAAAAACCUUGGGAAAUGCAGAGAGUACUUUCUCAUCAUUUCAAAUUUUAUUUAUACUUAUCUAAAGAUCUCUUUUUUGAAUUACUCAAUGAAUUUUAUUACAUUUAUAAUUGUACAAUAAUCAUCACAACCAAAUUUGAUAGCAUUUCCAUCCCAAACCCUCAGUGCGUCCCCCGACCCCCUAACCUGUCUCCUUUAGAAACCAUAAGUUUUUCAAAGUCUGUGAGUCAGUAUCUGUUCUGCAAAGAAGUUCAUUGUGUCCUUUUUUUAGAUUUCACAUGUGAUAGCAUUUGAUGUUGGUGUCUCAUUGUCUGACUGACUUCACUUAGCUUGAUAAUUUCUAGGUCCAUCCAUGUUGCUGAAAAUGCCAUUAUUUCUUUUCUUUUAAUGGCUGAGUAAUAUUCCAUUGUGUAUAUGUACUGUAUCUUUAUCCACUCCUCUGUCGAUGGGUGUUUAGGUUGUUUCCAUGUCUUGGCUAUCAUUUAGAGUGCUUCAGUGAACAUUGGAGUACAUGUGUCUUUGCGAGUCGUAGUUUUCUCUGGGUAGAUGCCCAGGAGUGGGAUUGCUGGAUCAAAUGGUAGUUCUAUGUUUAGUUUUCUGAGGAAUCUCCAUACUGCUUUGCACAGCGGUUGCACCAAUUUACAUUCCCACCAACAGUGUACUAGGGUCCCCUUUUCUCCACACCCUCUCCAGCACUUAUUGUCUGUAGACUUUUUGAUGAUGGCCAUUCUGACUAAAGAUCUCUUUUAAGACAUUUAUUCUGAUCAGUGUUUUAAAAUCAUGAAACAUAUGAAAAGGAAAGUUUCUUCAUCUUUGCACUAACAGUUCUUAGACCUUGGGUAUUCCCCUGAGUUUGUCGUUCGUGGUACUCUCUUUCAUGAGGACUACUUGUGAAUACACUGUGUACAUGGAACCUCUGUUAUGGUGCCAGUGCUUGUCUAGAUACUCUCGUAACAUUCUCAUCUAACCCUUGCAGCAACCCUUUUGGGUAAGUGUUCAUGCAUUUUACAGUUGAGGAAACUGAAGCUCAGAAAAAUUAAGUUGCUUAUUUUGAUCACAGAGCAGUUAACGUGAUGGAGGCCCCUGACCUCAGAGCAAGUGCUCUGGGUACCUUAAGUGGUUCUUAUAACCACUAUGGGUCUGAGACAUUUGUGGAGAUUAAAAAAAAUAAAUACAUGGGAGAGAUCUACCCUUAGAUACGCAGUCAAUCUAGAAUGGAACAUCUGUAAUUUUUAAAAGUGUGUGUUUAAAUGUGUGAUUUUUAUUUUCAUACCUUUCAGAACCAGCAUAUCCUAUGCUGCCAGGUAAAUCUUCACUUUGUCCUUUUUAAAAAAAUUUUUUUAAUUGUUUUGGCCGCACCCACAGCAUGUGGAAGUUUCUGGAGCAGGAAUCAAACCUGCAUCAUAGCAGUGACAACACCAGGUCCUUAACCACUAGGCCAUCAGGCAUCUCCUUGCCCUUUUCUCAUUGCUAAGUUUACUGAUAUUCUUUGGCACCUGCCAAUUUUCCUAUUGUUAUAGUUCUAGAAUCAGUAGGGCUUAUAAUUGCGCCUUCACUUUAAGGUGGGAAUUAAAUACGGUGAUACCAAGAAUGUUGCAUAACCAUCGUCUCCAUCUGUAUGUUAAACUGAGAGAUCAUCCCCUGAGCAGCCAUCUACAUUAGAACCCCAGCCAGUCUUAGUAAUUGUCCACCUCGGGAGCUCCCGUCGUGGCUCAGCAGAAAUGAAUCUGACUAGUAUCCAUGAGGACACAGAUUUGAUUCCUGGCUUCGCUCAGAGGGUUAAGGGUCUGGUGUUGCCGUGAGCAGGUUGCAGAUGUGGCUUGAAUCUGGCAUUGCUGUGGCUGUAGUGUAGCCCAGUGGCUACAGCUCCGAUUCAGUCUCUCCCCUGGAAAUUUCCAUAUGCCACGGGUGCAGCCCUAAAAAGAUUUAAAAAAAAAAAAAAUUGUCUACAUGGAAACUUUAAAUAUGUUUUAAAAACUGCACAUGUAAUAAGAAUGAUUAUGAACCUAAGGAAAUUUAAACUUUUUAUUUCCACAAAAGUAUUUGAAGUUUUCAUUUCAAACUAAACAGGAUACUGUUUGUU